CCUACGGGUGGCAGCAGUGGGGAAUAUUGGACAAUGGGCGAAAGCCUGAUCCAGCCAUGCCGCGUGUGUGAAGAAGGCCUUCGGGUUGUAAAGCACUUUCAGUGGGGAAGAAAGCCUUGGGGCUAAUACCCUCGAGGAAGGACAUCACCCACAGAAGAAGCACCGGCUAACUCCGUGCCAGCAGCCGCGGUAAUACGGAGGGGGCGAGCGUUAAUCGGAAUUACUGGGCGUAAAGCGCGCGUAGGCGGUCUGAUAAGCCGGUUGUGAAAGCCCCGGGCUCAACCUGGGAACGGCAUCCGGAACUGUCAGGCUAGAGUGCAGGAGAGGAAGGUAGAAUUCCCGGUGUAGCGGUGAAAUGCGUAGAGAUCGGGAGGAAUACCAGUGGCGAAGGCGGCCUUCUGGACUGACACUGACGCUGAGGUGCGAAAGCGUGGGUAGCAAACAGGAUUAGAUACCCGAGUAGUC
This 465-nucleotide ribosomal RNA is filed under the name Vreelandella stevensii. RNAcentral's name for it is "partial 16S ribosomal RNA". It matches the Rfam family "Bacterial small subunit ribosomal RNA", at positions 338 to 795 of the family's 1533-position model. The record is from RNAcentral. Lineage: Bacteria; Pseudomonadati; Pseudomonadota; Gammaproteobacteria; Oceanospirillales; Halomonadaceae.